ACGAACGCUGGCGGCGUGCUUAACACAUGCAAGUCGAACGGAAAGGCCCUGCUUUUGUGGGGUGCUCGAGUGGCGAACGGGUGAGUAACACGUGAGUAACCUGCCCUUGACUUUGGGAUAACUUCAGGAAACUGGGGCUAAUACCGGAUAGGAGCUCCUGCUGCAUGGUGGGGGUUGGAAAGUUUCGGCGGUUGGGGAUAGACUCGCGGCUUAUCAGCUUGUUGGUGGGGUAGUGGCUUACCAAGGCUUUGACGGGUAGCCGGCCUGAGAGGGUGACCGGCCACAUUGGGACUGAGAUACGGCCCAGACUCCUACGGGAGGCAGCAGUGGGGAAUAUUGCACAAUGGGCGGAAGCCUGAUGCAGCAACGCCGCGUGCGGGAUGACGGCCUUCGGGUUGUAAACCGCUUUCGCCUGUGACGAAGCGUGAGUGACGGUAAUGGGUAAAGAAGCACCGGCUAACUACGUG
RNAcentral lists this ribosomal RNA (467 nucleotides) under uncultured bacterium. RNAcentral describes it as "partial 16S ribosomal RNA". It matches the Rfam family "Bacterial small subunit ribosomal RNA", at positions 29 to 507 of the family's 1533-position model. The record is from RNAcentral.